UACGUAGGGUGCGAGCGUUGUCCGGAAUUAUUGGGCGUAAAAAGCUCGUAGGCGGUGUGUCGCGUCGGCCGUGAAAACCUGCAGCUUAACUGUGGGCUUGCGGUCGAUACGGGCAUCACUGGAGUUCGGCAGGGGAGACUGGAAUUCCUGGUGUAGCGGUGAAAUGCGCAGAUAUCAGGAGGAACACCGGUGGCGAAGGCGGGUCUCUGGGCCGAUACUGACGCUGAGGAGCGAAAGCGUGGGGAGCGAACAGG
Molecule: ribosomal RNA, 254 nt
Filed under: uncultured bacterium
Lineage: Bacteria
Description: partial 16S ribosomal RNA
Rfam family: Bacterial small subunit ribosomal RNA
Source: RNAcentral